This 75-nucleotide transfer RNA is filed under the name Methanoregulaceae archaeon PtaU1.Bin222. RNAcentral describes it as "tRNA-Thr". It matches the Rfam family "tRNA". From Rfam's summary of the family: Transfer RNA (tRNA) molecules are approximately 80 nucleotides in length. Their secondary structure includes four short double-helical elements and three loops (D, anti-codon, and T loops). Further hydrogen bonds mediate the characteristic L-shaped molecular structure. tRNAs have two regions of fundamental functional importance: the anti-codon, which is responsible for specific mRNA codon recognition, and the 3' end, to which the tRNAs corresponding amino acid is attached (by aminoacyl-tRNA synthetases). tRNAs cope with the degeneracy of the genetic code in two manners: having more than one tRNA (with a specific anti-codon) for a particular amino acid; and 'wobble' base-pairing, i.e. permitting non-standard base-pairing at the 3rd anti-codon position. Lineage: Archaea; Methanobacteriati; Methanobacteriota; Methanomicrobia; Methanomicrobiales; Methanoregulaceae. The record is from RNAcentral.
GCCGGAGAAGCACACGUCGGACGUGCGCCAAGUCUGUACCUUGGAGGACGGGGGUUCAAUUCCCUCCUCCGGCUC